GACGAACGCUGACGGUGUGCUUUAGACAUGCAAGUCGAACGCGAAAGCCCUUCGGGGUUAGUAGAGUGGCGAACGGGUGAGUAACACGUGGGCAAUCUACCCCUCGCAGGGGGACGAACCGACGGAACCCGGACCUAUACCCCGUACCGCUUGUGGGAGUCGCAUGAUCCCGCCAAGGAAAGGUAGCUUCGCCAUCCGGCGAGGGAUGAGCCCGCGGUGCAUUAGCUAGUUGGUGGGGUAACGGCCCACCAAGGCAACGAUGCAUAGCUGGUCUGAGAGGAUGAUCAGCCACAC
RNAcentral lists this ribosomal RNA (294 nucleotides) under uncultured bacterium. Its description in RNAcentral is "partial 16S ribosomal RNA". It matches the Rfam family "Bacterial small subunit ribosomal RNA", at positions 28 to 313 of the family's 1533-position model. The record is from RNAcentral.